GAUGAACGCUGGCGGCGUGCCUAAUACAUGCAAGUCGAGCGAACGGACGAGAAGCUUGCUUCUCUGAUGUUAGCGGCGGACGGGUGAGUAACACGUGGAUAACCUACCUAUAAGACUGGGAUAACUUCGGGAAACCGGAGCUAAUACCGGAUAAUAUUUUGAACCGCAUGGUUCAAAAGUGAAAGACGGUCUUGCUGUCACUUACAGAUGGAUCCGCGCUGCAUUAGCUAGUUGGUAAGGUAACGGCUUACCAAGGCAACGAUGCAUAGCCGACCUGAGAGGGUGAUCGGCCACACUGGAACUGAGACACGGUCCAGACUCCUACGGGAGGCAGCAGUAGGGAAUCUUCCGCAAUGGGCGAAAGCCUGACGGAGCAACGCCGCGUGAGUGAUGAAGGUCUUCGGAUCGUAAAACUCUGUUAUUAGGGAAGAACAUAUGCGUAAGUAACUGUGCACAUCUUGACGGUACCUAAUCAGAAAGCCACGGCUAACUACGUG
RNAcentral lists this ribosomal RNA (497 nucleotides) under uncultured bacterium. RNAcentral's name for it is "partial 16S ribosomal RNA". It matches the Rfam family "Bacterial small subunit ribosomal RNA", at positions 28 to 507 of the family's 1533-position model. The record is from RNAcentral.